AUAGACCUGGCAUCACUGAUGCUAAAAUAAUUCAUUCAUAUACCUGUCAAAAGCAUUAUUUUUCACUUGCAAGAGGGAUGACGAUGGUAACAUUAGGAACCUGGCACAUACAUUGAUCAAACGGCUCUGGAUAGAAAACACGGUGGCAUAUGUGUUUAGGACAUGAGUUGUGCGGCCGAGGCGUUAGUGAACUGGCUCAAAUAACUUCACCAGAAACUCCUGCUUUUAGUAAUGUGAAAUGGAUUCUCGUAUUGCUACCAAGUACAAAACUGGGUAACUUGAGCAAUUGACCCUCGGCAUGUUUCGUGGCAAGUGUUGCUCAGAGUCUACGCGUUUAUCAAACAGCAAUCGAUGCUCGGACACUAGCGGAGAUAUCCAGUUCCAAACGCAGGAACUCGUAAAAAUAGUCUCGCAACAGUUUACGGCCCGACCAGGAUGCUUCAGCUAGAUACAAUUGACAAUGUCACGCAUGACUAGUAGAAUACUAAAUUACUGCUUAUUUUCUAAAAACGGCUGACUACUGUUGAGCGUUCUGAGAAACAGAUGAUAAUACGCUGUGAUAAUAAACACUGGCUUAAUUGUAGGGCAGAUGGCAGAAUUCCCCGUUUACAGAUUCAUUCUAUUUGGUCGUUUUGAGAUGCACAGCAAACGGAACGAUGAACGUUGCGAAUUGUGAUUGCUUUACAACCUACGGCAUGGGAUGAAAUGAGCAGUAAUUUGAGGAAUGUCCCAGAUAGUAUCUUGGUACAUAAUUUAUAUGAUCCAGGCUGCUACGUUCACCGAGCUGGAAUGCAUGGUGUGAGAAAAAACAACAGCGACCACAUCAACGACUAACGUUCGUGCUCAAGAGUUGCCAUUUCCAGUGGACGUCGAUGUGUUACAUGCCGCUUCAGCAGCUCAGCAUCUCAGCUCUUCGUCUAUUGAUACAGUUAGUUUUGCGUCUUACGUAUAAUUAACUAGCUGAUACCCAUCGCGCGUUGCUGCGACUUUCAUCAAAAUAGGAGGAAAACACAAUUUGUUCCGAAGCGCCAUCUGGCGGGCAAAUAAUCCCCAAUCAAUAGCACACAAACACGCUCCAUAACAAAUGCCUACUAUGUAGAAUUUGUAACGUCAAUCGAUCAAGCCGUUUGGGAGUCCAUAAAUCAUAUACAUACAAGCAUUGACUUUUAUAUAUAUAGAUAGAUAUAGAUAGAUAGAUAUAGAUAGAUAGAUUGAAUCAACUAUUUGUUUCUAAAAAUGUAAUGUUACUGAUAGUUUUGUGUAUAAUUGUCUCAUGGAGCAAAAAUGCGAGUAACGGCGGUGCUCAUGAGUUCUGCCUAUGGGAAAGAAUUGCUUUCAUGUACAGUAUGGGAAGUCCCGCCUGGGCCAGGCGGCAUGACCAACGAAGUCGGUUUAAGACAACGUAGAUUGGUGUUUCUUUUCAAAAACAUGUAACAGAACUUAUAUGCAAUGUUGAAUAAAAUUUAGUUGGGAAUUCAAUGCCCUAAU
This is a long non-coding RNA of Topomyia yanbarensis, 1488 nucleotides long. RefSeq lists it as uncharacterized. The record is from RefSeq and is a predicted model, not a curated record. NCBI's taxonomy places the organism in Eukaryota, Metazoa, Arthropoda, Insecta, Diptera, Culicidae. The transcript is spliced from 3 exons.